UCAACUUUUACCCUCUCCAAUAAUUUUUCAUUCAACACUCUAUCCUACCACUUUUUAUUUCAUAUUUUUAUUUCAUAUUCAAAUUGCAGGGUUGUUUACCCAAUGGGAAAAUGAUAGCAGUCAAGCAACUUUCUUCUAAAUCAAAGCAAGGGAAUCGUGAGUUUUUAACUGAGAUAAGCAUGAUUUCUGCUUUGCAACACCCUUAUCUUGUUAAACUGUAUGGUUGUUGUGUGGAGGGAGAUCAGUUGUUGCAGAUAUAUGAAUACUUGGAAAACAAUAGUCUAGCUCGUGCUUUAUUUGGUAAUUUUUCCUAUAUGGUCGGUCUACUUUGGGAUGCUAUUUAUGUGAUAUGGACUAUGGACUGCUUCAUCUUCAUCAGCUGUAGACCUUUAUCCUGUCCAACUUGAUUCUUCCUAUUGGGAAGAAAAAUAAUUAAGAAUGUGUUAGACACUUAGACAUCUUAUUAAUAAUUAUUAAUUAUCAUGAGAGGAGGCUCACUUAGGAAAAUUGCUUUUUAGGCCCCCGUAGUGCUCUCAGACCCCCUGCUUUUGGACUUUGCAUUGUACGAUCCGAAGUCAAAACAUAUUCAGAAUGUAAGAUCCGAAACGCAGAGGCAUAAAACGAUGCUCAAUCUUCUUCUCCAUCGGGAACGCAGCCGCACCACCGUACCAUCUUCUUCUUCUCAGCCGCAAUCCCACUAGAAAUCGUAAAUUGGUCAAACAUUCAAUCUCAAGCAGUGAUCAAUCUUCUUCUGAAUAUAGAAAAAGGACCGGAACUGGAAGCCGGACGAACACUCCUUGCGCUGGGAGCUCCUUCCAUUCUGAACUGAAAUCAAUUCAAAGCAUAACAGUAUGACUUCGAAUGAUGCUAUCUUUAUUGAGCAACUUGGAUGGUAGCAGAAAAUGUCCAAAUGCUUGGUGGAGUCUUGUUUUUUAUGCUUUUGUUUCAACAUAGUUACUUGACUUGGUUUCUAAUUAAUUUUAGCUUUGUUAUUUAAUUAUAAGCCUUUAUUUUUGAGUCAUUAUUGGAUGUUUUGUCAUGCAAACAGUUUUUUUAAUAAGGUUGGUUUAUAAGUGUUUA
Trifolium pratense (red clover) is the source of this 1080-nucleotide long non-coding RNA. RefSeq lists it as uncharacterized. The transcript is spliced from 2 exons. The record is from RefSeq and is a predicted model, not a curated record. NCBI's taxonomy places the organism in Eukaryota, Viridiplantae, Streptophyta, Magnoliopsida, Fabales, Fabaceae.